AAUGCCUUAGAGUUGUUUUUAGGCAGUUUUGAGUCUUGUGACUUUGUUGUGAGUUUUGUUAAGUGUUUUUAAGUUUAUUUUUGUGUUUCUAAGUCAGUUUAGAGAUUUUAGCAAGCCCUCCUAAUCCCCGGUCCAGAACGAUCCCUACUUAUACAUAUACUACAAUUGUCAACAAGAGGGUUAAUUUGUGUGUUUAGUUAUUUUACGCAUCACCAACACCCCAAGCCCCGUUACAACCUUUGACUUCAUGCUUGAGUGUUAUGUGUUUCAAUUUGUGGAGUUUGAAUUUGGUAUGAGCAUAUGGUGUCACUGGUUCUCACAUCUAAGUAGUAGCAUUCCAUUCAUGAGAUCAUAUCUAAACAUGCUUUUUAACUCCAGAAACUGCGUUCUUUGUGAUACAUAUAUGUGAGUGUUCGUUUUCAUAUCUACAUCAAUCUUCUCACAUAUGACUAGUAUAGGGUGUGUAGUUAGAAAAUCUGAGUGAAAAUUGACUGCAUAUCUUGUAAGGAAUUGAGUGAAUUUUCUAAGGCAUGUUACUACAUCAAAAACAUUGUUUUAAUUGGUUAAUUGUGAACUAGUAAGUGGUAACUAUGAUUAAGUAUGUGCUCAAGUGUAAAGAUGACUCAAAUCUGUGGGGAUGAUGAUUUUUAACAUGUCAUGUGCAUUGGAAAUCCCUGAGGCAAAUGUUGGAAGGUUUAGGUUGUGUUUUAUUUGUUUUGUUUCGUUUUAUUUCUUUGUUUUGCUCGAGGACUAGCAAAAGUUAAGUGUGAGGGAAUUUGAUAGGAGCAUAUUUAUGCGACUUAAUUGGCUUAUUCUCGUGCUUUUACGUUGUGUUUCUUUAGUUAUUUUAGUGUUUAAAGUCACUUUUGUGUGUUUUCAGGUUUUAAGGUCAAUGGAUGCAAGAAGAUGCAUUUUGGAGCCUUUUGAAGCAAAAUUGAGCUUGGAACGGUGAUCACAUGCUUGAAGCAAAAGGAAUGGAUGAAUUGAAGACUUGAAGGAAAUUAGGAUUCCUAAUCAACCAAGGAUUCCUACUCCAAGAAGGAUUCCUACUUGAAAUAGGAAAGUUAAGCCAAGGUUUCCUACUUUGGUUUG
RNAcentral lists this long non-coding RNA (1092 nucleotides) under Malus domestica (apple). Its description in RNAcentral is "long non-coding RNA (MDOM_LNC019799)". The record is from RNAcentral. Lineage: Eukaryota; Viridiplantae; Streptophyta; Magnoliopsida; Rosales; Rosaceae.